Molecule: long non-coding RNA, 349 nt
Filed under: Salmo salar (Atlantic salmon)
Lineage: Eukaryota; Metazoa; Chordata; Actinopteri; Salmoniformes; Salmonidae
Description: lncRNA (ENSSSAG00000092261.1, ENSSSAG00020083631.1, ENSSSAG00075033091.1)
Source: RNAcentral
CCAAGGGCCACCAUGAUGACAUCCCCACACCACCAACUCGGCUUCCAAAUCUCAGAUCAGGCCUCAAAGACUUCGACCCAGGCCCCCAAACCAGCUCCGGACCUGGCUUCUCCCUCAGCCUCAGAUUACGACUUGACAUUGGACACAGCCUAAGUCAAACAGUAGCUACCCCCAACAGCUCAGCAGACCCAUCUGACUGGCCCUCAGUUUGUUCCUGGAGUCUAGCUCUCAGCAUGUGGACUGGGUGACAAAGUCAAGCAUUUAGCCAUCUGUUCUUGGUUAUUGUCUGCAGUGGCAGGCCAAUAACCCAGCAUUCAGCAGCAGAUGUAUGGAUGGGCCACAAGGCCUG